Non-coding RNA from Coccidioides immitis H538.4, 80 nucleotides. The record is from Rfam. NCBI's taxonomy places the organism in Eukaryota, Fungi, Ascomycota, Eurotiomycetes, Onygenales, Onygenaceae.
GAAGAUCUCGUUUGUUGGUUUACGAGUUGAGCUGUAAACUCAAUGACUAAUUGUCAUCGUAGGUUCGAUUCCUUCUCUUC